GUCGAGCCCCUGGGGCUGUCCG
RNAcentral lists this microRNA (22 nucleotides) under Ornithorhynchus anatinus (platypus). RNAcentral describes it as "oan-miR-1363-3p". The record is from miRBase by way of RNAcentral. Lineage: Eukaryota; Metazoa; Chordata; Mammalia; Monotremata; Ornithorhynchidae.